UGAAAAUGGACUGAUGGAUGAUUUCGGAGAGGCAAGAUGGGCCAAAGGAUUUAGUUGUACAAGGUACUUGAAAUUAAUAUAGAAAUCCAUGAGUGAGAGAGAGAACAGAACACAGAAGAGGAACACAGACAUCUGGAGUUUUUAAUUUCAUGAGGAUGGUUCUGGGUAAAUGAGUCCUGCCCAAAUGAAUAGAGUCAUAAAAAGAAAUAAAGUUUAAAAGCCCUGGAAUUAAUCAAGUUAUAGACACACUGUGAACAUCAGGAAUGUUUCAUAAAUUGAAUACUGGGAGCUAGGUGUGUGUGUGUGAUAAUCACAGUGGCUGGCUCUAUACUCUCCUGUAAUUUCAGCAGAUGUUAAAUCUCUCUCCAGAGGAGGUGGAUGUUGCUCAUGCUGAACAGCAUCAGAUCUGGAGUCUCUCUCCCUACAGUGUGUCGGAGGUUAAUGUAAAAAUCUAACUCAGCAGCAUGUGAAGUUUGGAGCACCACUGCACCUCACACCACCCUUCACAUCCUAUACAUAUGCUCUGUUAUAAACCUUAGCAGCACUUCAAGCAGUUGUUCGAAAAACUGUGAUUCCCAUUCACUUACAUUAUAAGACUGACAGACUGCAACAGUUUGAGCUGAAAGUCUUGGUUUGUGUUCUACUGAAGAAACAAAGUCACCUACAUCUUGGAUGCCCUGGGGGACGGAGCACUGAUAACCAACACACAGUGCUGAGGCUUGCAAAGAGCUGCUCUGCUGAAAGCUAGUAAAAAUCCUCAAAAGACAUCGAACCUGGAAGGGAGACAUGUAACGCACGCCACUGAUGAAUAAUGCGAUUACAGCGGCACACAAAACAUCCCUCCCAGAAAAAAAAAAACAACAAAAAACGAUCUUAUCGAGCAGUUUGUGCACAUAGUUGUGCAGAGAAGAAUGGCCCAUUUACU
Molecule: long non-coding RNA, 925 nt
Organism: Cyprinus carpio carpio
Lineage: Eukaryota; Metazoa; Chordata; Actinopteri; Cypriniformes; Cyprinidae
Source: Ensembl